AUGCAGUCGAGCGGAACGAUCCUAGCUUGCUAGGAGGCGUCGAAGCGGCGGACGGGUGAGUAAUGCAUAGGAAUCUGCCCGAUAGUGGGGGAUAACCUGAGGAAACUCAGGCUAAUACCGCAUACGUCCUACGGGAGAAAGCAGGGGCUCUUCGGACCUUGCGCUAUCGGAUGAGCUUAUGUCGGAUUAGCUAGUUGGUGAGGUAACGGCUCACCAAGGCGACGAUCCGUAGCUGGUCUGAGAGGAUGAUCAGCCACAUCGGGACUGAGACACGGCCCGAACUCCUACGGGAGGCAGCAGUGGGGAAUAUUGGACAAUGGGGGCAACCCUGAUCCAGCCAUGCCGCGUGUGUGAAGAAGGCCCUCGGGUUGUAAAGCACUUUCAGCGAGGAAGAAGGCUUGUCGGUUAAUACCCGGCAAGGGAGACAUCACUCGCAGAAGAAGCACCGGCUAACUCCGUGCCAGCAGCCGCGGUAAUACGGAGGGUGCGAGCGUUAAUCGGAAUUACUGGGCGUAAAGCGUGCGUAGGCGGCUUGAUAAGCCGGUUGUGAAAGCCCCGGGCUCAACCUGGGAACGGCAUCCGGAACUGUCAGGCUAGAGUGCAGGAGAGGAAGGUAGAAUUCCCGGUGUAGCGGUGAAAUGCGUAGAGAUCGGGAGGAAUACCAGUGGCGAAGGCGGCCUUCUGGACUGACACUGACGCUGAGGUACGAAAGCGUGGGUAGCAAACAGGAUUAGAUACCCUGGUAGUCCACGCCGUAAACGAUGUCGACUAGCCGUUGGGGUCCUCGAGACCUUUGUGGCGCAGUUAACGCACUAAGUCGACCGCCUGGGGAGUACGGGCCGCAAGGUUAAAACUCAAAUGAAUUGACGGGGGCCCGCACAAGCGGUGGAGCAUGUGGUUUAAUUCGAUGCACGCGAGACCUUACCUACC
Molecule: ribosomal RNA, 930 nt
Filed under: bacterium N9(2011)
Lineage: Bacteria
Description: bacterial SSU rRNA
Rfam family: Bacterial small subunit ribosomal RNA
Source: RNAcentral